RNAcentral lists this transfer RNA (82 nucleotides) under bacterium. RNAcentral's name for it is "tRNA-Leu". It matches the Rfam family "tRNA". From Rfam's summary of the family: Transfer RNA (tRNA) molecules are approximately 80 nucleotides in length. Their secondary structure includes four short double-helical elements and three loops (D, anti-codon, and T loops). Further hydrogen bonds mediate the characteristic L-shaped molecular structure. tRNAs have two regions of fundamental functional importance: the anti-codon, which is responsible for specific mRNA codon recognition, and the 3' end, to which the tRNAs corresponding amino acid is attached (by aminoacyl-tRNA synthetases). tRNAs cope with the degeneracy of the genetic code in two manners: having more than one tRNA (with a specific anti-codon) for a particular amino acid; and 'wobble' base-pairing, i.e. permitting non-standard base-pairing at the 3rd anti-codon position. The record is from RNAcentral.
GCGAGGGUGGUGAAAUUGGUAGACACGCUGGACUUAGGAUCCAGUGGGUAAAACCAUGCGGGUUCGACUCCCGCCCUUCGCA